Molecule: long non-coding RNA, 6076 nt
Organism: Macadamia integrifolia
Lineage: Eukaryota; Viridiplantae; Streptophyta; Magnoliopsida; Proteales; Proteaceae
Exons: 3
Source: RefSeq, a predicted model, not a curated record
GAAAUUGGAGAUCGAAUGGGGAAUGAGAAGAGGUUAGUGACCUAAGAGAGACUGACAGAAGAGAGUGGUGUGCACACAUGAGUGAACCCUUUGUCUCUCUAUAUAUCUUUCUCCCUCUCUCUCUCGGCUUGCUUAAGUGGUUCCAGAUCUGACUCACUCUUUGCUAUACAUUUUUUCCAUAUUAGGAAAGCUGAAAACCCAUCUGGGAGGAAUGGAGAGUAUGGGGGAAUGGGUAGUGAAGACUGAAGGGGUUGGUGACAAAGGAGAGACUGACAGAAGAGAGUGAGCACACACGGGGAAUUGCAUAGAUUGUAUGCCUUUGUUUGUGGGUGCUCACCUCUCUUACUGUCAGCUUCCCAUCACUCCCGGAAUCUCUUUGCCUUUCUCCGGUUAGGUCCAUUCUCUCUCCUCCGUCCUUUUAUGCACUUCCCCAUAAAACUCUCUCUCUCUCUUUCUCUCUCUCUCUCUCUCUCUCUCUCUAGGAAAACGAGCAAAUGAAGGGCAAACAUAAAGCAUAAAAGAUAAGGGGAAAAAGAUAUGAAACGACGCAUCGAGCAGCCUACUACCCCUUCACUCUCUCUCUCUCUUUCUCUGCAAACCUUAUCCUUUUUUCUGUCGCUCUGGCAUGCAUCCAUUUCGUUCUCUCUCCUUUUCUGAGAACAGUUCAUCGAUCUGAACUGUGAAGCAAACAAGAUUUAAAGGAGAAAUAAAAAAAAAAAAAAAAAGAAAGCUACACAAUACUGAUAUAAAUCAUACCAUAUCAGUAUACUGUAAUGGGCAAGUGCUGUUUGAUUUAUUUUUUUCUCUUCUAUAGUUCUAUUGCCUAAUUUAUUUUGGGGACUGACAUGCAGAGAUAUUAAGUUGGAGAUAAGUAAAUUUUUAUUUAUUUAUUAUUAUUUUCUGCCAUUAUUUUAUGGAGGGAGAGGAGAAGUAAAGCUUUGCAACCUUGAAUGCGUGACUUUUGAUGAUAUGGCCCUUCUAUCUCUUUACGGAAUGAGUGGGCGUGCCAAGAUUGCUCAUCUUCUCGAGGCGAAUCUAGGAAAAUUCAACAAGUUUGUGUUCAAGGUGCAAGUGGGUUUUCCUCCAUAUAUUCUGUGUUGUCUUCUUCUCAGAAGUAGAAGCUCCAUUUUCUUUCUUUCUUUCUUUCUUUACAGUCAUGGCGGAUCAUCCUAAGGUGCAAAAUUUGUUUUAGUUGCAGUUGGGUUUAUGGUUAAUGAAGUUAUUACUACUAUUCCCUAAUGAAGAGAGUCUCACAGGUAUAUGCCCACUCAGUAACGUGACAUUUCAUGAUUUCACAACCAUGCCUUUAGUCGGUCAAGGAUGCUACUUCAUUUUUGUUAUCCUCCGAUGGAAACUUAGGAGACCAGGAAACACAGCAAGAAUGUUCCUCAUAUGAAUAUGAUAAGAGAAUGAGUGGUGGUGGCGGUGGUGGUGGGGUAACUUUGUUGGAGACUCCUGAGUGGUUCAAUUCACCAUUCCAACAUGGGUUUCCUUUCCACUACGUCUCAUAUAUUCAACCAAGGUAUCGAUUCUCAUUCCUUAAACCAGUUUCCUUUUCCCAUUUUUGGUUUAUGUAGCUUACCAAUCAUAUACUGUAUAUUUAGUUCUUGUAAAGUGAGGUUCUAAGAUCAUUAGGUCACAACAAGUUUAUAGCAAUAGGUUUGAAACUUGGAGAGUUUGUUUAGUUUUAACUCCACUAGGAUGAUAUUAGCAUCUAAAUUACCACUCACAAUUGGAAGCAACCAGGGAUGUAGGCAUAUUUAUUGUAUGUAAUUAGGAUCCCCAUUACAUCUACUACAUAUACCAGAUCCCCAUUGUCUGUAGGUGACAAAUGAUUUUUAGGAUGCUGCAGAUGGGAACCCUACUUGCUGGAAAUUGUAAUGGCACAGACAGGAAGUUAAAUAAGAUGAUCAUAAUAGUUUUAUUGGAUUCACAAUCUAGUGCUAAAAAAUUAACCUAUAGGGUUUAUGAGUGUGUGGUAGUAAUAGAAUUCGAUCAACCAACAUGCAGAUCGAAGUAGGCAAAUUAGUAAAGCUACUCUUUUCCUUCUGGCUCUUAUGUUCUUUUAAUAGACCCAUAGCUUGGGCCACUGAGAGAACAAUUCUAAAGUUCACAUAAUUAUAGAUUAUCACAAAAUCCUUCCUUUUGGGGGGUGGGGGGUGCUGUACUCAACUAUCACAAGAAUUUAACCCUUCCAAACAAAAAAAAAAAAAAUCCUAAAUCCUAACAUUAUUUUAUUUUAUUUUAUUUUUGGUAACAAAAUCCUAACAUUUAAAAAGGGAGGGGGGAAGAAAAGAAAAGAACAGGCUACAUAAAUUGAUACCAAUGACUGAAAUAACCUAAUUUAUUGUAAUAGUUCUUCUGAUAACUAAGCUUGAUGAUAUCAACAUCCAUUUCUGAUUGACGUAAAUAAUCUAAUCUAUAAUGUAAAACAUCUAACAAACAGUAUUACUUGAUGAUGUUAACAUCCAUGUUCUCCUAUGAUGUCUUCAAUGUGGAAUUUGAUAUUUUGCAUCACAAGUGAACGGAUGUAAAGCCUAAAAGAUAUACCUUGAGCCUCCUAAUUUACUAUAAUGCCCUUGCUACCACUGGUUGUGAACAGAAUUGAAGGUUACAAAGAUCAUCCCAUUGAAAGUUGAAGGCCAGAAGAGGAGGUUUUAUCUUUAAAAUGGAAAUGGUUUUGUUGAUUGAGAAUUUUGAGGUUUAACCAGAAGCUUCAAGCACAUCCUGAGUAGUGGGUUUGGCCUUUUUAUAGAGAUAAAGAAUACCUAUUUAGGAAGUUAUUGGAUAUAAUUGAUGGCUAAAUGAUUCAAGAACAGCUAACAUCAUGUGUACCUUUUGGAGGCCAUAUUGAAAGUUCAAAGUUUUUGGGAAAACUAGCAUUCUUGGGUAGAAGGGCAGAACAAAUAAUAAAUAGCGAAGCCUGAUUGGUGGGGAAGGAGAAAACCAUUUGAUCUAAGCAGGCAGUUGUAUCCUUUUACCACAACAAAGGGGCUACUGUAAGUCAAUACCUAACGCUGAAACAAGAGAGGGUAGUUUGGGUGGGUUUUCUUCUUUAGGAGGAAUAUUGAUGAAAGGGUAAUCGAAGAUUCUACUACAUUAUUUCAGUUGCUUGAAGGGGCCAGCAUUACAAUAGGACUUACAAGGAAUAAACCAAAGAAAUCUUAUUAAUUAAAUUAUUUUUAUUCUUCUUUGAUGUCUCAAGGAGAAUUACUUAUGACAAAAAGAAAUUGGGGAUAACAAAUCCACCUUUAUGUUGAAGCGGUUCCAUGGGUAAUACGAGACUGUUUAUAACUUCUUUAUACAUUAUAGCAAAGUUCAGGAUGUCUACUGCUCUUUUUUUGGAACAUUUGGAUAUAGGUGGUAACUCAAGUGAGGAGAGUGUUAUUUAAAGGCCCAUAUAUGUUCUAUAAUGAAUUGGGACCUUCUGCAAUGCAUUGGGACUGUGUGGAAACUGGAAAUAGAAGUACUUAAUAAUGAGAAUCAUAAAAACCCCAAUGGUAUCCUUUGGAAAUCUCAUAGUAAUAUUAGGCAAUUGGUUUUAAAAGACUCUUUGGGAUUUGGUGUUCUGAGAUUGAAAAAGAUUGUAAUGGGUGGAUUUCAGAUUGAGUUUGCGUGUUUCAUUUAGUUUUGGGCAGGGGUGAGGUGGCAUGUUCACCCUUGUGUCUUCUGUUAUCUUUUGGAAGUUUUAAUAUAAUUUCUGAGGGCUGCCUGGGGUCCUGGAGUUCUAAAGUUAAAAUGAAAAAAAAAAAAAAAAAAAAUGCUUGGGAAUACUCUUUUUUCUUGAGAAGGGGAGUUACAAUCCUUGUAGUUUCUCUUUAAUGGCUCCGAGAAUCUAUCCAUAUUCAGCUCCUUGGCAGCAAUUUUAUUGUUUAUUUUGUGGACAUAAUGUAAUAUAUUGUAGUAAUAUUAUUUUAAAAUAAAACCAAAUUGGUCUGUUAAUAUUAUUUUUAUAUAUACUUUUGCUGAUCUGCAGCCAAAAAAAAGGUAUGUCAAGCCAAGUUUAAAUUAGUUUCAUCAUUUGAUGUUAGGUAGUGUAGACCAACCACAUAACAAUGCUCUUAUACCUUUCAAUUUAGAAAUAAAAAUCAAUAAAAAUUUUAGUCCACAAGGGAAAUCACAGAGGUCACAUAGCCUAAUGAAGUAACAUAGGUAUGGCAUGGCACUUUUUUUUGGUGGGGGGGGGGGGUUGCUUGGAUUCCUAAAAAAACCUGCUGGCACUUGGAUUGCUAAAAUCUGAGAUUUUAGUUUAAGUUGAGGCUAAAGUUUUCGAUCAGGUCUUUGGGUGUAGAAGACUCACAGCACAAGUAUUCGAGGGUGUGUUAUAGGAUAGAAUGGAAUGCAUACGGAGAAGGUUUUAUGAUGAAAAUACAAAAGCGAAUAAAUUGAUCAGAUAAUGUUUCCAUAAGCAUCUAUAUUGGGUAUUCUAAGAUGCAAUGAUGAUUCAAAUUAUGUUCUUGGUUAAUAUGGAUUUUUCAUCCCUAAUGUCUUUGAUGACUCUUAAAUUGUCACCUGCUAAAUAGAUUGUUUGGUUGAAACAACAAAUUCAAAAACUUUAAACCAAGUAGUAUAACCAUUGGGCCAUGGGAUACAUUGACUAGGCAUUGGGAAUGAUUUGACCUAGGACAACCAGCACUUUGGUUGUGCUUCACUGUUCAUGAUUAAUGUAAUAUAACCAAGGUGCAAUUUUGAGGUUAUAUCUCACAUCCAAUGUGUUGAACAUUGAGGAUGGCUAGAUUCCAAUGGUUGUUGGUUCUAAUUGGGUUAAGUUGGCUUCUAUUGGGCCAAGCAGGCUAUGACUUUAUGAGCUUAGGUUCAUGGUUCUUAUGGUUGUAGUGUAGCAUUUAUCCUAUCAUUUUUGGGAACUUCAUAAGCAUCUUUAUAAGCCAUCAAUGGGGGCUUAUGAGAAGGAGAUGAUUUUAUAGCUAGGGAGGGGAAUCUUAUUGUUGACUUCUUAGCAAAACUUAUGGCGAAGAAUGCAUCCUCCUCAUUGUCCAUUAUAUUCCCACUUUUGACGCAAAAUGAUUUGGAAGUGGAUGUGUUAGAUCACCUGAGAUAUUGCUUAUUAACCAAUUUGCUUUGUUCUAGUUCCUUAGUUGGCUUCCCUUUCCAAUUGAUGGCAUGCCGAAGGUGGGAAUGGGAGGUCAAGGCGUGUAAGUGUCCGAUAUGAUUCAAAGCCCCAAGUCCAAGAAAUGAAAGGGAGAUCAAUUGUGUAGUUGUGCUACAAAUUUUGGGAACUUAAGUACCACUGGCGAGAAGAACAAGAUUUGUUUCAAAAGUGAAUGGGUUUUGUAGAUACAUAUCUUAAGUAUCGGUGCGUAUCAUAGUGGAGGCUCUAUAGUGAAUAUGGUGAUAUCAUCUACAUAUAUGAGAUGAUUCAACUGCAUCUCUUUACAUUUUGGAAGAGGUGCGAGCAAAUUUUGAUCGACUUUCCAAUUAAGGAAAGAGGAAAGGCCUUCCAUCACCAAAGAGAACAACAAGAGGAGAGUGAGUAGCCUUUUCUGAUUCCUUUCAAAGGAACAUAGUACCCAAUAGGAGAUUCAUUCACCAAAUUGACAUGUGCACGAAAGAUAUACAAAAAUGGAUCCAAUGGAUAAAAAAGGAGGGAAAUUCAUCUUGAACAAAAUCUGCAAGAUAUAUUCCCAUCUCACUGUAUCAAAAACCUUUUAUAUAUCAAUCCUCAACAAGGCUGAGGGGCGUGGGCUCUACCAAAGCCUCUACCAAUCUCUUUAAAAAGAAAAAUAUUAUCUAAAAUUGAUUGAUAAGCACACCAGAUCUCCAAGAACCAUCUUCAAUCUGUUGGCCAACACCAAUGAACGUGUAAAGUAAAUUACUGAGGGAGAUGGGUCUAAAGUAACUAACCCAAGGUGAGAUUCUAGUUUCCACUAGAACUUGUGUCCAUAAAUGGUGGCCCAAUGUGGUUCUUUGGUAUGGACAGAGGGCUUCGCCAAGGUGAUCCCUGUUGUUUUAUGGUUAUCCCUGUUGGCAACUCGGCCAUGUGGCGGUGAUGACGUGGCCAGUUUGGGUGACGUGGAUGAAAAUGAUGACAUGGCAGUGUCCAGUGUCACCGAUGAGA